Molecule: long non-coding RNA, 199 nt
Filed under: Elaeis guineensis (African oil palm)
Lineage: Eukaryota; Viridiplantae; Streptophyta; Magnoliopsida; Arecales; Arecaceae
Description: long non-coding RNA (EGUI_LNC035792)
Source: RNAcentral
AAUGGGAGAAGAACCAUUGGAAACCAACCCAACUAUUCCCUCUGUUUCAGAUCGCCUCUUCUUUCAGCCAAGUCGGGUCAGCCCGUCAUGAAUGCCCAAACUGAGCCCAAUUUCGAACAUCUCAUUGUUAACCAUUAAUCUGAGCAGCACCCCGUGACAAAAAAUGUAUAAACAGCCUUGGAAAUUUGUGUCCAGUAGA